GACGCCGAGGACCUACCACCGCGACUUCGCCCCGCCCGGCGCGGGCCCAGGACCCUGAUGUCGCUUUUGAACAGCCCCUGCACCUGGCAGCCAGCGAGCUACUGUAGUAGGCAUUGCCGACUGUUUGCAUACCGGAUGGGAGUGACAGUGUAAUAGAAAAACAAGCAAGAAACCUUUUAGGUAGGACUCCUAAGGCUCAGAGGAAGUAAGUGCUUGCGGAGCGUUCUUUGUACUGUGUCUUUUCCUCUACCACAUCUCUGUCCCCGCCUCUCUUGGGUGCUUUUUUUGGUCUCUGAAAGGAUCUGUGAAUAAACUGAGACAGAAAGGCAGAUGGCUUUGAGGGUGGCGAGCAGACCUUCUUCGUGGAAAGACUGAAGGUUCAACUCAAAUUCAUCUUGUAGAAAUUCUUGGUGAAUUCGAGGCUGCUGAUUUGGAAGAUUUUCCUCCAUCCCUCUAACCCUACAAAACAAACAAGUCCCAGGAUCCCUGAAUCAUGGGGCUUCAUGUUCCAACCCCCCUUUCAAGAGUCCUCUGACCCAGUGACCCUGUGUAAGUUGCCUGAUCAGCUCACAGCCAGAAAGUGGCCCAUGAGGAGCUAGGGGGAGCCUCUUGGCAGAGGCAGAAAGAAAGUGUGGCUGACCAAGGAUGGUUACCGGAUGUCAACUGUAGCUAGGAAGUGACGACA
RNAcentral lists this long non-coding RNA (685 nucleotides) under Homo sapiens (human). RNAcentral's name for it is "non-protein coding lnc-BAIAP2L1-1:2". The record is from RNAcentral. Lineage: Eukaryota; Metazoa; Chordata; Mammalia; Primates; Hominidae.